This 869-nucleotide ribosomal RNA is filed under the name uncultured Lacticaseibacillus sp. RNAcentral's name for it is "bacterial SSU rRNA". It matches the Rfam family "Bacterial small subunit ribosomal RNA", at positions 56 to 888 of the family's 1533-position model. Lineage: Bacteria; Bacillati; Bacillota; Bacilli; Lactobacillales; Lactobacillaceae. The record is from RNAcentral.
UGCAGUCGAACGAGUUCUCGUUGAUGAUCGGUGCUUGCACCGAGAUUCAACAUGGAACGAGUGGCGGACGGGUGAGUAACACGUGGGUAACCUGCCCUUAAGUGGGGGAUAACAUUUGGAAACAGAUGCUAAUACCGCAUAGAUCCAAGAACCGCAUGGUUCUUGGCUGAAAGAUGGCGUAAGCUAUCGCUUUUGGAUGGACCCGCGGCGUAUUAGCUAGUUGGUGAGGUAAUGGCUCACCAAGGCGAUGAUACGUAGCCGAACUGAGAGGUUGAUCGGCCACAUUGGGACUGAGACACGGCCCAAACUCCUACGGGAGGCAGCAGUAGGGAAUCUUCCACAAUGGACGCAAGUCUGAUGGAGCAACGCCGCGUGAGUGAAGAAGGCUUUCGGGUCGUAAAACUCUGUUGUUGGAGAAGAAUGGUCGGCAGAGUAACUGUUGUCGGCGUGACGGUAUCCAACCAGAAAGCCACGGCUAACUACGUGCCAGCAGCCGCGGUAAUACGUAGGUGGCAAGCGUUAUCCGGAUUUAUUGGGCGUAAAGCGAGCGCAGGCGGUUUUUUAAGUCUGAUGUGAAAGCCCUCGGCUUAACCGAGGAAGCGCAUCGGAAACUGGGAAACUUGAGUGCAGAAGAGGACAGUGGAACUCCAUGUGUAGCGGUGAAAUGCGUAGAUAUAUGGAAGAACACCAGUGGCGAAGGCGGCUGUCUGGUCUGUAACUGACGCUGAGGCUCGAAAGCAUGGGUAGCGAACAGGAUUAGAUACCCUGGUAGUCCAUGCCGUAAACGAUGAAUGCUAGGUGUUUGGAAGGUUUCCGCCCUUCAGUGCCGCAGCUAACGCAUUAAGCAUUCCGCCCGGGGAGUACGACCG